UUUAUUACAUUUAAAUAUUUUAGUACGAAAGGACCAAAUAUUUGAUAUAUUAAUAUUUAUUUUUUGAAUAUUAUUAAAAUUA
Molecule: ribosomal RNA, 82 nt
Filed under: Pterostichus negligens
Lineage: Eukaryota; Metazoa; Arthropoda; Insecta; Coleoptera; Carabidae
Description: partial 16S ribosomal RNA
Source: RNAcentral